AACUUCAAGAUAAGAUUUCCCACCGCAAGGGUAAGACCCCAGAAAGACUAUCUGGUUGAUAGGUCGAAGGUGUAAGUGCAGCAAUGUAUUUGGCUUAUCGAUACUAAUAGGUCGAGGACUUGACCAA
This 127-nucleotide ribosomal RNA is filed under the name Clostridioides difficile. RNAcentral's name for it is "partial 23S ribosomal RNA". It matches the Rfam family "Bacterial large subunit ribosomal RNA", at positions 2795 to 2925 of the family's 2925-position model. Lineage: Bacteria; Bacillati; Bacillota; Clostridia; Peptostreptococcales; Peptostreptococcaceae. The record is from RNAcentral.